ACCCGCUGAACUUAAGCAUAUCAAUAAGCGGAGGAAAAGAAACCAACAGGGAUUGCCCUAGUAACGGCGAGUGAAGCGGCAACAGCUCAAAUUUGAAAUCUGGCGCAAGCCCGAGUUGUAAUUUGUAGAGGAUGCUUCUAGGUAGCGACCGGUCUAAGUUCCUUGGAACAGGACGUCAUAGAGGGUGAGAAUCCCGUAUGUGACUGGCCCGCACCUUCUACGUAGCUCCUUCGACGAAUCGAGUUGUUUGGGAAUGCAGCUCUAAAUGGGAGGUAAAUUCCUUCUAAAGCUAAAUACCGGCCAGAGACCGAUAGCGCACAAGUAGAGUGAUCGAAAGAUGAAAAGCACUUUGGAAAGAGAGUUAAAAAGCACGUGAAAUUGUUGAAAGGGAAGCGCUCACAACCAGACUUCUAGGCAGUGUUCCGCCGGUCUUUUGACCGGUCUACUCUCUGUCUCGAGGCCAACAUCAUCUGGGACCGCCGGAUAAGACCUUAGGAAUGUAGCUCCCCUCGGGGAGUGUUAUAGCCUCUGGUGAUGCGGCGCGUCUCGGGUGAGGUCCGCGCUUCGGCAAGGAUGUUGGCGUAAUGGUUGUCAGCGGCCCGUCUUGAAACACGGACCAAGGAGUCUAACAUCUAUGCGAGUGUUCGGGUGUCAAACCCCUACGCGUAAUGAAAGUGAACGGAGGUGGGAAGCGUAAGCUGCACCAUCGACCGAUCCUGAUGUCCUCGGAUGGAUUUGAGUAAGAGCAUAGCUGUUGGGACCCGAAAGAUGGUGAACUAUGCCUGAAUAGGGUGAAGCCAGAGGAAACUCUGGUGGAGGCUCGCAGCGGUUCUGACGUGCAAAUCGAUCGUCAAAUUUGGGUAUAGGGGCGAAAGACUAAUCGAACCAUCUAGUAGCUGGUUCCUGCCGAAGUUUCCCUCA
Molecule: ribosomal RNA, 921 nt
Filed under: Ramularia endophylla
Lineage: Eukaryota; Fungi; Ascomycota; Dothideomycetes; Mycosphaerellales; Mycosphaerellaceae
Description: LSU rRNA
Rfam family: Eukaryotic large subunit ribosomal RNA
Source: RNAcentral